Rhopilema esculentum is the source of this 390-nucleotide non-coding RNA. Lineage: Eukaryota; Metazoa; Cnidaria; Scyphozoa; Rhizostomeae; Rhizostomatidae. The record is from RefSeq and is a predicted model, not a curated record.
CUGUCGGUUAUUAAAAAUGGAAAGCCAUCGAAGUUGGAAGAUAGAAAACAAUGCAGAUGACUUGCAGAUAGGAAUUGCAAAACCGAUAUCAAACACAGAGCAAGUGCACUUCCAAAGUCUCGAGUCUCCCAAAUGUUGAAGGGGUCCACGAUGAAAGAAGAUGACCUCAUUGUGCUUCAAAACCAUUAGAAGUCAACGCUUUCUGUUUGAUCGCAAUUUUAAUGUUUUCUUUCUGACAAAAUGGAAGCAAAGACAGUGCAAAGUAGCAAUGAAAGCAUCCCAAAAUGGGACAGUGGUUCAAAAUGGCACACUGGCUAAAUGUGACACAGUGGCUCUAAAGUGGCACAGUUUGGAAACAUUAACUCCGACAGCCUUUUCGAGGCAUUGCAG